Molecule: non-coding RNA, 21 nt
Filed under: Arabidopsis thaliana (thale cress)
Lineage: Eukaryota; Viridiplantae; Streptophyta; Magnoliopsida; Brassicales; Brassicaceae
Source: RNAcentral
GAACUGUAAACGUAUGGUGGU